UCGAGGGGCAGCAGGUGUAGCAAUACAUCGCUGGCGACCGGCAGACGGGUGCGUAACACGUACGCAAUCUACCUCCAACUGGGGCACAACCUCGAGAAAUCGGGGCUAAUUCCCCGUAACAUUACGGAAUGGCAUCAUUCUGUAAUUAAAGUUCCGACGGUUAGAGAUGAGCGUGCGUCCGAUUAGCUAGUUGGCAGGGUAACGGCCUACCAAGGCGACGAUCGGUAGCUGGUGUGAGAGCACGACCAGCCACACGGGCACUGAGAUACGGGCCCGACUCCUACGGGAGGCAGCAGUAAGGAAUAUUGGUCAAUGGACGCAAGUCUGAACCAGCCAUGCCGCGUGCAGGAUGAAGGUCCUCUGGAUUGUAAACUGCUUUUCUCUGGGAAGAAAUCCUUGAUUUCUAUCGAGGUUGACGGUACCAGAGGAAUAAGCACCGGCUAACUCCGUGCCAGCAGCCGCGGUAAUACGGAGGGUGCAAGCGCUAUCCGGAUUUACUGGGUUUAAAGGGUGCGUAGGCGGAUUGGAAAGUCAGUGGUGAAAUACUCCGACUUAAUCGGAGAACCGCCGUUGAUACUAUCAAUCUUGAAUGUGGUUGAGGCGGGCGGAAUGUGUCGUGUAGCGGUGAAAUGCUUAGAUAUGACACAGAACACCCAUUGCGAAGGCAGCUCGCUAAACCACCAUUGACGCUGAGGCACGAAAG
This 703-nucleotide ribosomal RNA is filed under the name uncultured Bacteroidota bacterium. RNAcentral describes it as "bacterial SSU rRNA". It matches the Rfam family "Bacterial small subunit ribosomal RNA", at positions 62 to 759 of the family's 1533-position model. The record is from RNAcentral. Lineage: Bacteria; Pseudomonadati; Bacteroidota.